AUGCUCCAGAUUGAACGCUGGCGGCAGGCUUAACACAUGCAAGUCGAACGGUAGCAGGUAAGUACUUGUACUUAUGCUGACGAGUGGCGGACGGGUGAGUAAUGCUUGGGGAUCUGGCUUAUGGAGGGGGAUAACGACGGGAAACUGUCGCUAAUACCGCGUAGAAUCGGGAGAUGAAAGUGUGGGACCUUCGGGCCACAUGCCAUAGGAUGAGCCCAAGUGGGAUUAGGUAGUUGGUGGGGUAAUGGCCUACCAAGCCGACGAUCUCUAGCUGGUCUGAGAGGAUGACCAGCCACACCGGGACUGAGACACGGCCCGGACUCCUACGGGAGGCAGCAGUGGGGAAUAUUGCGCAAUGGGGGCAACCCUGACGCAGCCAUGCCGCGUGAAUGAAGAAGGCCUUCGGGUUGUAAAGUUCUUUCGGUGACGAGGAAGGUUGUUGUGUUAAUAGCGCAACAAAUUGACGUUAAUCACAGAAGAAGCACCGGCUAACUCCGUGCCAGCAGCCGCGGUAAUACGGAGGGUGCGAGCGUUAAUCGGAAUAACUGGGCGUAAAGGGCACGCAGGCGGACUUUUAAGUGAGGUGUGAAAUCCCCGGGCUUAACCUGGGAAUUGCAUUUCAGACUGGGGGUCUAGAGUACUUUAGGGAGGGGUAGAAUUCCACGUGUAGCGGUGAAAUGCGUAGAGAUGUGGAGGAAUACCGAAGGCGAAGGCAGCCCCUUGGGAAUGUACUGACGCUCAUGUGCGAACAGUCGUGGGGAGCAAACA
RNAcentral lists this ribosomal RNA (768 nucleotides) under Aggregatibacter aphrophilus. RNAcentral's name for it is "bacterial SSU rRNA". It matches the Rfam family "Bacterial small subunit ribosomal RNA", at positions 19 to 774 of the family's 1533-position model. Lineage: Bacteria; Pseudomonadati; Pseudomonadota; Gammaproteobacteria; Pasteurellales; Pasteurellaceae. The record is from RNAcentral.